Molecule: ribosomal RNA, 492 nt
Filed under: uncultured bacterium
Lineage: Bacteria
Description: partial 16S ribosomal RNA
Rfam family: Bacterial small subunit ribosomal RNA
Source: RNAcentral
AGUGAACGCUGGCGGUAGGCCUAACACAUGCAAGUCGAACGGCAGCACAGUAAGAGCUUGCUCUUACGGGUGGCGAGUGGCGGACGGGUGAGGAAUACAUCGGAAUCUACUUUUUCGUGGGGGAUAACGUAGGGAAACUUACGCUAAUACCGCAUACGACCUACGGGUGAAAGCAGGGGAUCUUCGGACCUUGCGCGAUUGAAUGAGCCGAUGUCGGAUUAGCUAGUUGGCGGGGUAAAGGCCCACCAAGGCGACGAUCCGUAGCUGGUCUGAGAGGAUGAUCAGCCACAUUGGAACUGAGAAACGGUCCAGACUCCUACGGGAGGAAGCAGUGGGGAAUAUUGGACAAUGGGCGCAAGCCUGAUCCAGCCAUACCGCGUGGGUGAAGAAGGCCUUCGGGUUGUAAAGCCCUUUUGUUGGGAAAGAAAAGCAGCAGGUUAAUACCCCGCUGUUCUGACGGUACCCAAAGAAUAAGCACCGGCUAACUUCGUG